GCCUAGGGAGGCAGCAGUAGGGAAUCUUCCACAAUGGGCGAAAGCCUGAUGGAGCAACGCCGCGUGGGUGAAGAAGGUCUUCGGAUCGUAAAACCCUGUUGUUAGAGAAGAAAGUGCGUGAGAGUAACUGUUCACGUUUCGACGGUAUCUAACCAGAAAGCCACGGCUAACUACGUGCCAGCAGCCGCGGUAAUACGUAGGUGGCCAGCGUUAUCCGGAAUGAUUGGGCGUAAAGGGUGCGCAGGCGGAACCAUACGUCUGAAGUAAAAGCCAUCGGCUCAACCGAUGUACGCUUUGGAAACUGU
This 305-nucleotide ribosomal RNA is filed under the name uncultured bacterium. RNAcentral describes it as "bacterial SSU rRNA". It matches the Rfam family "Bacterial small subunit ribosomal RNA", at positions 337 to 636 of the family's 1533-position model. The record is from RNAcentral.